GUGCAGGAGAGAGCGGCCCCGAGCCGCCGCCGAAGGCGCAAGCGCACCCGCAAUCGCUCAGGCAAAAGGACUGCA
This 75-nucleotide non-coding RNA is filed under the name uncultured Aquitalea sp. Its description in RNAcentral is "Glycine riboswitch". It matches the Rfam family "Glycine riboswitch aptamer", at positions 9 to 86 of the family's 94-position model. From Rfam's summary of the family: This family represents the bacterial glycine riboswitch. Glycine riboswitches usually consist of two metabolite-binding aptamers domains with similar structures in tandem. The record is from RNAcentral. Lineage: Bacteria; Pseudomonadati; Pseudomonadota; Betaproteobacteria; Neisseriales; Chromobacteriaceae.